This 1452-nucleotide ribosomal RNA is filed under the name metagenome. Its description in RNAcentral is "bacterial LSU rRNA". It matches the Rfam family "Bacterial large subunit ribosomal RNA", at positions 1433 to 2910 of the family's 2925-position model. The record is from RNAcentral.
AUAUUCCAGUACUUUUUAUAACAGCGAUGCGGUGACGGAGUAGUGACACUGACGCGAACUGACGGAAUAGUUCGUUAAAGGCCGUAGGUAUAUGGACUGUAGUAAAGUACGCAGACCAUGCUGAAAGCUGAUAGUACUUGAAACCUUCGGGGGACGAGAUAGUCCAGGUAACCAGACUUCCAAGAAAACCCGCUAAGCUUCAGGUUAUAAAAACCCGUACCGUAAACCGACACAGGUAGUCGAGGAGAGAAUCCUAAGGUGCUCGAGUGAAUCAUGGCUAAGGAACUCGGCAAAAUGGCCCUGUAACUUCGGGAGAAGGGGCGCUGUCAGCAAUGGCAGCCGCAGUGAAAAGGCCCAGGCGACUGUUUAACAAAAACACAUGGCUUUGCAAAAUCGAAAGAUGACGUAUAAGGCCUGACACCUGCCCGGUGCUGGAAGGUUAAGAGGGGAUGUUAGGAGCAAUUCGAAGCAUUGAAUCGAAGCCCCAGUAAACGGCGGCCGUAACAAUAACGGUCCUAAGGUAGCGAAAUUCCUUGUCGGGUAAGUUCCGACCUGCACGAAUGGUGUAACGAUCUGGGCGCUGUCUCAGCCAUGAGCUCGGUGAAAUUGUGGUAUCGGUGAAGACGCCGGUUACCCGCAACGGGACGGAAAGACCCCAUGCACCUUCACUACAACUUAACAUUGAUAUCGGAUACAGGAUGUGUAGGAUAGGUGGGAGACUGUGAUCCAGCUUCGCUAGGAGUUGGUUAGUCAACGUUGAAAUACCACCCUUUCUGUAUUUGGUGUCUAACCCUGCAAAGCGGGGGACAUUGUUUGGCGGGUAGUUUGACUGGGGUGGUCGCCUCCAAAAAGGUAACGGAGGCUUUCAAAGGUAAGCUCAGUACGCUUGGUAACCGUACGCGGAGUGCAAUAGCAUAAGCUUGCUUGACUGUGAGGCAGACAAGCCGAGCAGGGUCGAAAGACGGAUAUAGUGAUCCGGUGGUUCUGCAUGGAAGGGCCAUCGCUCAAAGGAUAAAAGGUACGCUGGGACAACAGGCUGAUCUCCCCCAAGAGCUCAUAUCGACGGGGAGGUUUGGCACCUCGAUGUCGGCUCGUCACAUCCUGGGGCUGGAGAAGGUCCCAAGGGUUGAGCUGUUCGCUCAUUAAAGUGGCACGCGAGCUGGGUUCAGAACGUCGCGAGACAGUUCGGUCCCUAUCUGUUGUGGGCGCAGGAAGUUUGAGUGGGGCUGACCUUAGUACGAGAGGACCGGGUUGGACUAACCUCUGGUGAAUCUGUUAUGGCGCCAGCUGUAUUGCAGAGUAGCUACGUUGGGAAUAGAUAAGCGCUGAAAGCAUCUAAGUGCGAAACUAGCCACAAGAUGAGAUUUCCAUUGAGGGUCGUAGGAGACUACUACGUUGAUAGGUUACAGGUAUAAAGGUGGUGACAUCAUAGCCGAGUAAUACUAAUUGCCC